UUGGCUUAGAAGCAGCCAUCAUUUAAAGAAAGCGUAAUAGCUCACUGGUCGAGUCGGCCUGCGCGGAAGAUGUAACGGGGCUAAACCAUGCACCGAAGCUGCGGCAGCGACACUAUGUGUUGUUGGGUAGGGGAGCGUUCUGUAAGCCUGUGAAGGUGUGCUGUGAGGCAUGCUGGAGGUAUCAGAAGUGCGAAUGCUGACAUAAGUAACGAUAAAGCGGGUGAAAAGC
This 229-nucleotide ribosomal RNA is filed under the name Escherichia coli. RNAcentral's name for it is "partial 23S ribosomal RNA". It matches the Rfam family "Bacterial large subunit ribosomal RNA", at positions 1101 to 1329 of the family's 2925-position model. The record is from RNAcentral. Lineage: Bacteria; Pseudomonadati; Pseudomonadota; Gammaproteobacteria; Enterobacterales; Enterobacteriaceae.